UGGGUGUUUAUAGAAGCUUUAUCCAUAAUUGCCAAAACUUGGAACCAACAAGAUGUUGGACUUUGGACUGUGAGUGAUAACAGUGUGUUGAUGUAGGUUCAAUCCAUUGCAACAAAUGGAUUCCUUUGUUUGUUAGGGAGUGUUGAUGGGGGAGGGGCUGAGCAUGUGGCAGGGGGCAGGAAGUUUAUGAGAAAUCUCUGUAUGUUAUGCUCAAUUUUACUGUGAAUCUAAAACUGCUCUGAGUGUUCCCAUUGUGGCACAGUGGAAACGAAUCCAACUAGGAACCUUGAGGUUGCGGGUUUGGUCCCUGGCCUCGCUCAGUGGGUUAAGGAUCUGGCAUUGCCAUGAGCUGUGGUGUAGGUCACAGAUGUGGCUCAGAUCCUGCAUUGCUAUGGCUGUGGCGUAGGCCAGCAGCUUUUGCUCCAAUUUGACCCCUAGCCUGGGAACUUCCAUAUGCCACAGGUGCAGCCCUAAAAAAGCUAAAUAAAUAAAUAAAUAAAUAAAUCUGCCCUGAAAAAUAAAGUCUGCUUAGCAGUUCUCUUGUGGCACAGCGAGUAAAGGACCUGGUGUUGUCACUGCUAUGUUGAACGUUCAGUCCCUAGCUGGGGAAUUUCCACAUGUUGCCAGAAGAAAAAAAAAAAAAAAAAAAGUCUAUUUAAAAAGAAAAACAUAUCAUUGCCAUAAAUAGAAAGUGAGUAAUUUUUUUUCAUAAAAGGAGAGGAAGAGUUCCCGUCGUGGCUCAGUGGUUAACAAAUCUGACUAGGAACCAUGAGGUUGCAGGUUCGAUCCCUGGCGUUGCCCAGUGGGUUAAGGAUCCAGCGUUGCCGUGAGCUGUGGUGUAGGUCGAAGAUGGGGCUCGGAUCCCGUGUUGCUCCACUGGCCUACACCACAGUCACAGCAACACCAGAUCUAAGCCAAGUCUGCGACGUACAAUGCCGGAUCCUUAACCCACUGAGCAAGGCCAGGGACCGAACCUGAAACGUGAUGGUUCCCAGUCAGAUUCAUUUCCACUGCGCCACAAUGGGAACUCCUGUGUUGGUUUGUUUUUGUUUUUGUUUUUAAUUUUUAAAAAAGUUUGUUUUUUAUUUGAAUAAAAUUGGCAAGGGUAUGGAGAAAGGGGUACUUGAGUAUGAAGUUGGUGGACAAGUACAUCAGUAGCAUCUCUUUGAAGGACAGUUUGUCAGUAUCUAUCAAAAUUGCAAAAGUAUAUGCCUUUGAACUCAGGAAUCCUGACAGGAAGAGGCAUUCAUGUGCAGGAAAAUGAGAGUACAAGGUUCUUUGCUGCUUCACUGUAAUAUCCAAAGGUUGGCAUCAACCUCAAUGUCCCUCAUAGGAGCUGAUUAAAUCUAUCAGGACCCAUCCCUGCAACGGGAUAUUGUGCAGUCUCCUAAAAUAACAAAGCAGUUGUUUACAUACCGAUGCAGAAGAUCUUCGAGAUUCAUUGUUAGAUUAAAAAACAAGGUGCCUAACAGUGUUUGUAGCAUGUUACCACUUCUGGGUUUUUAUUUAAUAUUUAUAUGCUGACAUUUGCAUAGCAUGUCUCUGGAAGGAAAUAUAAUAAAUUAGGAAGAGCCAUUGCCUUUCGUGAGAGGAGCUGAAAUUUGAAAUGGAAAUUUUUGAAAUUUUUACCUCAUCCCUGUGUUACCUAUUUAAAUAAGUGUAAAAAAAAGGGUAAAUGACUGCCUCUAGAGAACUGAAUAGGGAGUAGGAAGGGUGGAAUGGGAUGGUGGCUUUAAAAUAGAUAUUAUAUGCAUGUAACGUAUCUUACAUAUGUGUAUAAUAUUGAUUUACAAAUGUUUCAACUACC
This 1807-nucleotide long non-coding RNA is filed under the name Sus scrofa (pig). RNAcentral describes it as "lncRNA (ENSSSCG00015002778.1)". The record is from RNAcentral. Lineage: Eukaryota; Metazoa; Chordata; Mammalia; Artiodactyla; Suidae.